UACGUAGGCGGUUAAAUAAGUCAGGUGUAAAAGGCAUUGGCUCAACCAAUGUAAGCACUUGAAACUGUUUGACUUGAGUAUAGGAGAGGUAAGUGGAAUUCCUAGUGUAGCGGUGAAAUGCGUAGAUAUUAGGAGGAACACCAGUGGCGAAGGCGACUUACUGGACUAUUACUGACGCUGAGGUACGAAAGCGUGGGGAGGCAAAACA
This 208-nucleotide ribosomal RNA is filed under the name uncultured bacterium. RNAcentral's name for it is "partial 16S ribosomal RNA". It matches the Rfam family "Bacterial small subunit ribosomal RNA", at positions 568 to 776 of the family's 1533-position model. The record is from RNAcentral.